This 72-nucleotide transfer RNA is filed under the name Ornithorhynchus anatinus (platypus). It matches the Rfam family "tRNA". Rfam says of the family: Transfer RNA (tRNA) molecules are approximately 80 nucleotides in length. Their secondary structure includes four short double-helical elements and three loops (D, anti-codon, and T loops). Lineage: Eukaryota; Metazoa; Chordata; Mammalia; Monotremata; Ornithorhynchidae. The record is from Rfam by way of RNAcentral.
AGCAGCGUGGCUCAGUGGAAAGAGCCUGGUCUUUAGAGUCAGAGGUCAUGGGUUCUAAUCCCAGCUCUGCCA